Molecule: ribosomal RNA, 192 nt
Filed under: uncultured prokaryote
Description: partial 16S ribosomal RNA
Rfam family: Bacterial small subunit ribosomal RNA
Source: RNAcentral
UACGUAGGGGGCGAGCGUUGUCCGGAGUUACUGGGCGUAAAGGGCGUGCAGGCGGUGGUGCGCGUUUUGUGUGACAGCGCAUGGCUUAACUAUGCGAGCAUACGAAAGACAGCAGCACUUGAGAGCGCGAGAGGGACACGGAAUUCCGGGUGGAGUGGUGAAAUGCGUAGAGAUCCGGAGGAACACCGAAGG